UACAGAGGGUGCAAACGUUGUUCGGAAUUACUGGGCGUAAAGCGCGUGUAGGCGGCAGUGAAGGUCGGAUGUGAAAUCCCGCGGCUCAACCGUGGAAGUGCAUUCGAAACCACAUAGCUAGAGUCUCGGAGAGGAAGGUGGAAUGCUUGGUGUAGAGGUGAAAUUCGUAGAUAUCAAGCGGAACACCGGUGGCGAAGGCGGCCUUCUGGACGAUGACUGACGCUGAGACGCGAAAGCGUGGGUAGCAAACAGG
RNAcentral lists this ribosomal RNA (253 nucleotides) under uncultured bacterium. RNAcentral's name for it is "partial 16S ribosomal RNA". It matches the Rfam family "Bacterial small subunit ribosomal RNA", at positions 524 to 776 of the family's 1533-position model. The record is from RNAcentral.